RNAcentral lists this ribosomal RNA (799 nucleotides) under Acinetobacter sp. RNAcentral's name for it is "bacterial SSU rRNA". It matches the Rfam family "Bacterial small subunit ribosomal RNA", at positions 52 to 846 of the family's 1533-position model. Lineage: Bacteria; Pseudomonadati; Pseudomonadota; Gammaproteobacteria; Moraxellales; Moraxellaceae. The record is from RNAcentral.
CACAUGCAGUCGAGCGGGGAAGGGUAGCUUGCUACCUGACCUAGCGGCGGACGGGUGAGUAAUGCUUAGGAAUCUGCCUAUUAGUGGGGGACAACAUUCCGAAAGGAAUGCUAAUACCGCAUACGCCCUACGGGGGAAAGCAGGGGAUCUUCGGACCUUGCGCUAAUAGAUGAGCCUAAGUCAGAUUAGCUAGUUGGUGGGGUAAAGGCCUACCAAGGCGACGAUCUGUAGCGGGUCUGAGAGGAUGAUCCGCCACACUGGGACUGAGACACGGCCCAGACUCCUACGGGAGGCAGCAGUGGGGAAUAUUGGACAAUGGGCGAAAGCCUGAUCCAGCCAUGCCGCGUGUGUGAAGAAGGCCUUUUGGUUGUAAAGCACUUUAAGCGAGGAGGAGGCUACUUGGAUUAAUACUCUAGGAUAGUGGACGUUACUCGCAGAAUAAGCACCGGCUAACUCUGUGCCAGCAGCCGCGGUAAUACAGAGGGUGCGAGCGUUAAUCGGAUUUACUGGGCGUAAAGCGUGCGUAGGCGGCUUUUUAAGUCGGAUGUGAAAUCCCUGAGCUUAACUUAGGAAUUGCAUUCGAUACUGGGAAGCUAGAGUAUGGGAGAGGAUGGUAGAAUUCCAGGUGUAGCGGUGAAAUGCGUAGAGAUCUGGAGGAAUACCGAUGGCGAAGGCAGCCAUCUGGCCUAAUACUGACGCUGAGGUACGAAAGCAUGGGGAGCAAACAGGAUUAGAUACCCUGGUAGUCCAUGCCGUAAACGAUGUCUACUAGCCGUUGGGGCCUUUGAGGCUUUAGUGG